Molecule: transfer RNA, 85 nt
Filed under: Penicillium vulpinum
Lineage: Eukaryota; Fungi; Ascomycota; Eurotiomycetes; Eurotiales; Aspergillaceae
Rfam family: tRNA
About the family: Transfer RNA (tRNA) molecules are approximately 80 nucleotides in length. Their secondary structure includes four short double-helical elements and three loops (D, anti-codon, and T loops). Further hydrogen bonds mediate the characteristic L-shaped molecular structure. tRNAs have two regions of fundamental functional importance: the anti-codon, which is responsible for specific mRNA codon recognition, and the 3' end, to which the tRNAs corresponding amino acid is attached (by aminoacyl-tRNA synthetases). tRNAs cope with the degeneracy of the genetic code in two manners: having more than one tRNA (with a specific anti-codon) for a particular amino acid; and 'wobble' base-pairing, i.e. permitting non-standard base-pairing at the 3rd anti-codon position.
Source: Rfam by way of RNAcentral
GCACCGGUAGCUCAGUUGGUAGAGCGUGCGAUUGCAAUAAAAAGCAUCCAUCGCAAGGUAGCGUGUUCGAUCCACGCCCGGAGCU